GACGAACGCUGGCGGCGUGCUUAACACAUGCAAGUCGAACGGAAAGGCCCUGCUUUUUUGGGGUUCUCGAGUGGCGAACGGGUGUGUAACACGUGAGUCACCUUCCCUUUACUUUGUGAUAUCUUCAGGCAACUGGUGCUAAUACCUGAUAGGUGCUCCUGCUGCAUGGUGGUCUUUGGAAAGUUUCGUCGGUUGGGGAUGUACUCGCGGGUUAUCAGCUUGUUGGUGGGGUAGUGGCUUACCAAGGCUUAGAAGGAUAGCCGGCCUGAGAGGGUGAACAGCGACAAGGGGACUGAGAGAGGGAGCAGAGGGGAACGGGAGGCAGCAGGGGGAAGUAUGGCACAAUGGGGGGAAGUGUGAGGAGGAAACGCCGGGAGCGGGAUGAAGGUCUAGGGGUGGGAAACGGCAGUAGGCUGAGACGAAGCGGGAGUGACGGUAAUGAGAAAAGAAGCACCGGCUAACUACGUG
Molecule: ribosomal RNA, 468 nt
Filed under: uncultured bacterium
Lineage: Bacteria
Description: partial 16S ribosomal RNA
Rfam family: Bacterial small subunit ribosomal RNA
Source: RNAcentral